GGGCAUUAAAACUAAGUAGCCAACGAAAAGCAAGCCCGCAGACUCCCUACGUUUAUACCUGGAGCCCGAGGUGGGUGCUGGGCGACUGUGGUUUCCCGGGUGCGCAGACGCCCAUGUGCGCAAUCAGAGUGCCUAAGCCCCGCGCAGAUCCGGCACCCCUUGGGGGGUAAUCCCCGCCAGGGCCUGGCUCUCUCGACCCCCAAACGCUGUCCCCAUCCUUCUCAUAAUGAUAACACCGAAAAUUCCACCACUGGAGCUUCCUCUCUGAGGCCUAAGGCUUUGAUUUCUGUUCCAUGCAAAUCUCCUCAGGCAGAGUCGGACUUCCCUGUGGCUGAGGGCUAUUUUGUGCGCAUGAAUAUGCAUAGAGACCUGUGAUGUCAGAAUGGGAACUAAGACCUAGAAAGUAAUCCCUGCUGCCCUUUCGCUGGCCCAGGAAGGGGUAAAUCACAGAUCAGUGUCAGAGGUGCGAUGAAAACCCAGGAGUUCUGAUUCCUGGGUCACCAUGCUCCCUUUGCCAAGGGUGGAGCCGACACCAACAGACUCUUAGCUCCUGUGCCCUGUGCAUCCUGGUGUUCGUGCACGUGCUGCACGGAGCUGCAUCCUGGGACAAUUUUAUGGCUGAUGAGAACAUAUCCUGAUCCACUCCACAUUUCAGUGUAACCUUGCAGUAUACCUGUAACACUGGAGGCACACAUCUCUUCCCUAGCAGCCCUUAAGAACCUGAAUGGUAGAGAGAGGGAGGAUCACAAAAGUUUGCUUCCAGCUCUAUACUCACCCACAGAUCAACGAGGGGCAAGGAUAGAAGCAGAGACAUCAAUGGAGAAGAGGCUAUAGAAAGAUUCUGAGCAAGAAAUGACAAUGGGUUGGUAAUGGUAGUGCAGGUGAUAAGAAGAAGUCACGUUCCAGAUGUACUUUUUCAGAUCAUUUGCUCUGGAGAAAGCCAGCAGGCAUGAGAGGCCCAUGUGGUGAGGAACUGAAGCCUCCUGCCCACAGCCACAUGUGUGAACUUAGAAAUUAGAAGAUCUUCUAGCCCAGUCAAUGGCUGUACAAUGGCUACAACCCUGGCUAAUACCUUGACUUCAACCUCACGAAACACUGAGCUAGAACCACCCAACUAAGCUGUUCCUAGAUUCCUCACCAUCAGGAACUGUGUGCUGUAAAAAUGCUUGUUAUUAUAAGCCACUAAAUUUUGAAGUGUUGUGUGACACAACAAUCUGUAAAUAAUUCAGAAUAGUAAAAUAUGAAUGGGAACACAAAUGUACAGACAUGG
RNAcentral lists this long non-coding RNA (1270 nucleotides) under Homo sapiens (human). RNAcentral describes it as "HSALNT0394211". The record is from RNAcentral. Lineage: Eukaryota; Metazoa; Chordata; Mammalia; Primates; Hominidae.